RNAcentral lists this ribosomal RNA (595 nucleotides) under uncultured Actinomycetes bacterium. Its description in RNAcentral is "bacterial SSU rRNA". It matches the Rfam family "Bacterial small subunit ribosomal RNA", at positions 242 to 847 of the family's 1533-position model. The record is from RNAcentral. Lineage: Bacteria; Bacillati; Actinomycetota; Actinomycetes.
UCGCUUGUUGGUGGGGUAAUGGCCUACCAGGCGACGACGGGUAGCCGGCCUGAGAGGGCGACCGGCCACACUGGGACUGAGACACGGCCCAGACUCCUACGGGAGGCAGCAGUGGGGAAUAUUGCACAAUGGGCGAAAGCCUGAUGCAGCGACGCCGCGUGAGGGAUGACGGCCUUCGGGUUGUAAACCUCUUUCAGCAGGGAAGAAGCGAAAGUGACGGUACCUGCAGAAGAAGCACCGGCUAACUACGUGCCAGCAGCCGCGGUAAUACGUAGGGUGCGAGCGUUGUCCGGAAUUAUUGGGCGUAAAGAGCUCGUAGGCGGCCUGUCGCGUCGGUUGUGAAAGCCCGGGGCUUAACCCCGGGUCUGCAGUCGAUACGGGCAGGCUAGAGUUCGGUAGGGGAGAUCGGAAUUCCUGGUGUAGCGGUGAAAUGCGCAGAUAUCAGGAGGAACACCGGUGGCGAAGGCGGAUCUCUGGGCCGAUACUGACGCUGAGGAGCGAAAGCGUGGGGAGCGAACAGGAUUAGAUACCCUGGUAGUCCACGCCGUUAAACGUUGGGAACUAGGUGUGGGCGAGAUUCCACGUCGUCCGUGCC